Molecule: long non-coding RNA, 3766 nt
Organism: Photinus pyralis (common eastern firefly)
Lineage: Eukaryota; Metazoa; Arthropoda; Insecta; Coleoptera; Lampyridae
Exons: 2
Source: RefSeq, a predicted model, not a curated record
ACGGUAGGCAGCACACAUAGCGCGAAUUUCUUUGUUUUUUACACCAAGUACGGUCGUCACUUGGAUUUUCCCAAAAAAAAUUUUUGAGUUAAAACAACCAUAAUUGUUUAUUGCGGCUUAAUUAAAAUGUUUAAUAUUCAAGAGUGCUUUGGAAACAAAAAACGGCUGUGAAUUGUUUAAUGUAGUACUAAUUAAAACGCGAAAAAUAAGCGACUAAUUAAAUAGCAUUUGACAACAAUUAUCAUCUUUUGUUUACAAGGCACUCUCUUAAUUAAAUAAAUAAGUAUAUAUUGUUUUAGUUAAAACAUAAUGGGACCCAUAGAUAGGGUUUAAUAAAGAAAAUUCAUUUUACGAUUCCAAUUUAACCCAUCAAGAUUUCCACGCGAGCUACGCAAAAAGGCGGCCACCCUGUAUACAUAAAAUUGUAUUCUCUUAUUUGCAAUGUGCUGUUCUUUGACAGUCAUUAAUUUUUACCAUGAUUUCAAUUUUUAGGUUUUUUCCAGAAAAACGCAAACAUGUUGGUACCUACCCAGUUGUAGAAAAUUGCCCCUUUUUUGAUCUAAUAUUGAGCCCGUGAUCAAAUUUGAGUUACUAAAAUAAGGUGGUGGUGGCGAAAUUUUAAUUGCUUGAAAGAAAAGUGUUGUCACGGACACAUCUUUUUUGAAUUUCAAUUAAUUGCUUAAUUUUAGGGUAUUAAAAAAGUGUCAAGACAGCGCUGACCAAAUUUUCAUGGUUUUUUGGGAAAAAAUUGAAUGUUUUCUAAAGCAGCCCCAGAAAUGCUUUUUUGAAUGUCAACGUGGGAACGUUUAAUGUUUAAUGCAACGAUUCUAACUUAAAACAAUUACAAUAAUUAAUUAUAGAGGUUGGAGCUGUUGGUAGGCAACACGCAUUACACACUACAGCUGGUUGUAGAAAAUUGUACUUUUUUCCAAUUUUAUUAUUUUCUAUUUUUGUUCUUUAUCUUUAAGUAGGCCAAUUUUCAUGUUUUUUAAUUAAAAAUGUUGCAUUUAUUAAUACGGAAAAUUGCAACUCUUAAGAUUUAGUCUGUUUGUAGGCAACACACAUGACACACUACACCUAGUGCUAGAAAAUGAAAUCUUUCUAUCAAAUAUUGGUUAUUGAUCAAAUUUGAGUUGUCAAAAAAGUGUUGAGGUAGUACCAAGUUUUCCAUGUUUUUUAAAAAAAAGGUGAAUUUCUUCUGAAGCAGUCUUUCUUUGAAUUUCGAAGCGAUCAACUUAAUUUUCGAUUUUUUGAUUCAGUAUUGAACACGUGAACCGGUUUAAAAAAAAGUUAAAAAUUAAAGCAAGCUCAGAUACGUCUUUUGUUUUAUUUCGAUUAAUCUCGUCGGCUUGAUUUCUUAAUAUGACUCCAAUGUAUUAUUAUUAUUUAUUAUUUUUGGUCUUUAUUUAGUGGGCGGGGUUUCAGCCUGGGUGGGGUUGCAGCACGUGAUCAAAUUUGGGUCGUUAAAUAAAGUGUUGAACAAAUUUUCAUGAUUUUUUGAUAAAAAAGUUGAACCGUGCCUGUUCAACACACGACACGCUACACCUGGUGGCAGAAAAUUGCAUUAUUAAGAUCAAUUUUAAAUUAUUACGAAGUGUCCAGGUGAUGCUGUCCAAAGUUCAAUGUUUUUUUUUAAUUAAAAAAAAUGGAAUGUUUUCUAAAGCAGCAUCAGAAACGUCUUUUUUGAAUUGCGAUGAAUGUAAUCAGUCUCUCUUCUUAAUACGGAAACGAGUACUUCAACGAUGUAAAAAAAAUUGCAAAUCUAAAAGAUCGAGUCUUGUUUGUAGGUAGGCUAUAAAAUUGCAUCUUUCUUGAAAGAAAAUAGGGCAAGUGAUCAAAUUUGAGUUAUCAAAAAAGUGCUUUUUAAGUAGUCUUCUGAAGUAGUCUCAAAAUCCGAUUAAUUUCUUAAUAAAUCAACUAUUUUAAAAAAAAAUGCAAGUUAAAAAGACCAAAGAACCAAGUCUGUUGUAGGCAACGCGCGUGACACUAGAUCUGAUGGUAGAAAACUGCACCUUUUUUAAUCCAAUAUUGAGCUCGUGACCAAAUUUGUGUUUUUUUUUUAAAAAAAAAAGUUGUUUUCCAACGCCGCCUCAAUGCGUCUUUUUGAAAUUUCAUUUCAUGUGCAUCUUAAUUUCUUAACACACACAACGACCCCAACUUGAACGAUUUCUUGUAAAAUUGCAAUCAAACCAAAUUUUCAUGUUUUUUUGAAAAAAGAAGUGUUGAGCGUCCUCUAAAGCAAACUCAGAAAAGCCUUUUUUGAAUUUCAAUUUAUGUGAUCAGCUUAAUUUCGGAAUAAUUUCGGAACAAUUUCGGAACAAUUUCUUUAAAAAUUGCAAUACAGUGGUAGAAAGUGGCAAUUUUGGGCACGUGAUUAAAUUUGAGUAACUAUAAAAACUGGUGACCAAAUUUUCACGUUUUUUUUAAAAAAAAAACCGCUCUAAAGCUGACUCAGAAACGUCUUUUUUUAAUUUCAAUUUAUGUGAUCAGCUUAAUUUCGGAAUAAGACGACUCUCACUUGAACAAUUUCUUCAAAAAUUGCAAUACAGGGUGGAAAGUGGCAAUUUUGGGCACGUGGUCAAAUUUGAGUUACUAAAAAAAGUGUUGAUGGGGGGGAUGACCAAUUCUUCACGUUUUUUUUUAAAAAAGCUGCUCUUAAGCAGACUCAGAAACGUCUUUUUUGAAUUUUAAUGUUUGUGAUCAUCUUAAUUGCGGAAUAAAACGACUCCCACUCGAAUAAUUUCUUUAAAAAUUGCAAUACAGCGGUAGAAAGUGUCAGGUUUGGGCACGUGAUCAAAUUUGAGUUACUAAAAAAGUGUUGAGGGGGGACUGACCAAAUUUUCACGUUUUUUUUUGAAAAAAACUUCUCUAAAGCAGACUCAGAAACGUCUUUUUUGAAUUUCAAUUUUUGUGAUCAUCUUAAUUGCGGAAUAAGACGGCUCCCACUUGAACAAUUUCUUUAAAAAUUGCAAUACAACGGUAGAAAGUGUCAAGUUUGGGCACGUGGUCAAAUUUGGGUUACUAAAAAAAGUGUUGGGGGGGGGGGGGCUGACCAAUUUUUCACGUUUUUUUUUAAAAAAGCUGCUCUUAAGCAGACUCAGAAACGUCUUUUUUGAAUUUUAAUGUUUGUGAUCAUCUUAAUUGCGGAAUAAAACGACUCCCACUCGAACAAUUUGUGGCAAUUUUGGGCACGUGAUCAAAUUUGAGUUACUAAAAAAAGUGUUGAGAGGGGGCUGACCGAAUUUUCACUUUUUUUUAAAAAAAAAACUGCUAAAGAGCAGACUCAGAAGCGUCUUUCUUGAAUUUCAAUUUUUGUGAUCAUCUUAAUUGCGGAAUAAGACGGCUCCCACUUGAACAAUUUCUUUAAAAUUGCAAUACAGGGUGGAAAGUGGCAAAUUUGAGUUACUAAAAAAGUGUUGAGGGGGGGCUGACCAAAUUUUCACUUUUUUUUUUUAAAACUGCUAUAGAUCACUCAGAAACGUAUUUUUUGAAUUUCAAUUUUUGUGAUCAUCUUAAUUGCGGAAUAAGACGGCUCCCACUUGAACAAUUUCUUUAAAAAUUGCAAUACAGCGGUAGAAAGUGUCAAGUUUGGGCACGUGGUCAAAUUUGGGUUACUAAAAAGUGUUGAGGGUGGAGGGGGGGGGGGCUGACCAAUUUUUCACGUUUUUUUUAAAAAAGCUGCUCUUAAGCAGACUCAGAAACGUCUUUUUUGAAUUUUAAUGUUUGUGAUCAUCUUAAUUGCGGAAUAAAACGACUCCCACUCGAA